Molecule: long non-coding RNA, 26802 nt
Organism: Loxodonta africana (African savanna elephant)
Lineage: Eukaryota; Metazoa; Chordata; Mammalia; Proboscidea; Elephantidae
Exons: 3
Source: RefSeq, a predicted model, not a curated record
AUGGCGGAAGGAAGCCAGACCUGCAAACUGUUCCCACGGUCUUCUGGGCCCAGCCUGCCGUAGCCCCACAGCCUUCACUGGCUAGCUUAGUAAAGUAGGGCAGGAAGCAAAAGGUCGUGUAUAUUAUCACAAGAUGACUUUGUAUCUUCGUUUUUAUUUUAUUUUUUCUUUUAAGCCAAGCCAGUGUAUAAAAGGUAGAGUUUGAAAAUAAAGUAGGCAGCUUUUUGUUUUUGAGAAGAAUUUCUAAAUGAGUAGCUUUAGAGCUUAGUUUCAGUUUUAAUUUACUGUGUGGAUUAGUGGGAACUGGUCCAUCUAUCCAUUAGAGGUAUAUUUUCAUUUUAUAUUAAGCUAAUAAGUAGUAAUAGGGUAAAAUCAAUGGGUGCUUUCUGGAAGAAGGGUACUUAUGGGGAAAAAAAGGUCAAAGGGAAUGAGUUAACAUUGUUCCUAGUUUGACUACAAAGGAAAAUUCAUUAUUCGAAAUAAGUGCUCACUACUUUUCUUCAGAGUAGAAUUUGCGGUUCUCUUAAUUUGCUGAAUUUGAUAGUUGCUUUGAAUUUUAUAAUUGGGAGGGGACGCUUAAAUGCAUUACAGAUUAGGGAUUCUAAGUGAUUUUCUCUCUAUAAGUGCAGUAAAAAAGAUAUCAGCAAUUUGAAAGGCGUGGUGUGGGAGGGUGCAGGAAGCAGAUUAAAUUUUUGCCAAGAUUCAUGAGUGUGUUGUGUUCCGAACACAUGUCAGGGUGACUAAUAGUUGAAUUGGCCUGACUGUACAGUCUAAGUAAAGGAUUGGUAAUGCAUUCCCUGCUGCUCUGAAGACUUGACCACUUUGUCAUGCAAGGACUAUGCCGACCAGCUAAGUUAUGUUCAAAUAAGGCUGCUGUGAGGACUGUUGUACAAGGAAUAAGCUGCAAACCAAUGAUAUUUAUAGAAGUAUAAAAAGUUUCAAUCUGCAAAACAAAUUUUUUGAAACCUGGCUAAAAAGAAACAUUCUAGUUCUAACUAGCUGUGUGAUUUUGGACAAUUUGCUUAACUGCCCUGGGCCUCAAUUUUCUUACUGCUAAAAUAGUUUGGGCUAGGUCACAUGUAUCCAGCAUUUUAUAUAGCACUGGAAUUCUGUGGUCUGUGAGUACAGGGUGGACUUGACAUUACAUGUUCCCUGUCUUCAAAAUGCCCUAGCUCAGACCUAGAAAGCAUUCUCUCGUGCUACAGUAGGAAGUCUCGUUGAAGGUAAUUGGACUAACUUAGAAUGGAAAACGAAAAGUUUUCAAAGUGCUCUUUGCCCCUUUAAUUAUAGUUAAGUUAUUCAGGCAUUUGGUUCUUCAUAACACACCAGUUUUUAUUAAAAAAAAAAAAAAAAAUCUUUGAAAAAUGCUUUGUAGCCAUAGUAGAUUCAAAGUCUCCCACGUUUCCCAAGUUCCACCAAUCUCAUUCCAUCAUUCAGAGUUGACCUGUGUAUGCAAAGGGCAAAGUAGGCAGGUGAAUAAAGGUUCUUGCCUUUAUAUAUUUUAACUGCUGUAGAGAAAGAAAACAGCUUUCUGACAGCCACAGUGAGCUAUUUUUAAACAUCCUUCCUCCCCAAACUGCAUUAUUUCCCUCCCUAAAUUUGGUGAGGAGGAGGAGGAGGAAGAUAGCUUCUACCCCUUGUGCCAUAACCAGGAAUUGUGUAGGCAACGUAUGGGUAUGCCGUACUUAGAACAGUACUGCAUCCGGUAGAUCUUAUCCCCAUUUCACAGGUGAGGAAACUGAGGCUUGUUGAGGCCAAGCCACUUUGCUGAGGUCACUCAGUUAGACAGCAGCAGGCUCAGCAUUCCACGGAAAUCUCUGGCACCAAAGACUGUGGAUUUAAUCACCACCCUUCACUGCCUUCUAGCUGGCCCAACCUCUCAUGAGAAGCUUCUAAUGAUUUUAUAGGAUUCACAAAAUGACUUCACGUUUAUGAAAUGAAAAGAGAACUUGCUUACCAUCCAAAGGCACUAGAACUAUAAAAUGUGGUGCAAUCCUGAAGAAGCAAAAGUAACCAUUUUGAAUUGUUUUCCAGAUAUGAGACAGAUGGCACAUAUUUAUUUUUAAUGUGUAAGAAGAUAGAGAAAGCAAUUGGAGAUGUGACACCCUGCACUAAUUGGCAAGAAUCACCUAAUGUACAUAGUUAAGGCACAAAGAGAGGAAAAUUAGGUCCAUGCAUCACACAAAUGAGGCAAUACAACAACGUGUGUUUAACUAGAUUUAUUUUCUACAAGGUCUUUUCUGUUUCGUUCUAAGUAAUUUUAAUGAGGAUUCUCUAAACGUCUGUGAAUGAAGAGAGACAAAGAAGAAAACAAAUCUGGGUACCACAUGUCCUGAUAGAAGCCAAACGGGUCUGAGUAGUCACACCAGAAUCUUCAAUAAAAAAUACAUUUAACUAAAAUGUACAUUAUCGCUUGUUAGUCCCUCCGAACUCCAGUUGGUAAACCUUGCACUCACGUCCCUUUAUAUAAUCUGUGCAAAAAAAAAAAAAAAAAGGCAGAUCACGUGACCACUGGAAUUGUUCCUUAAAUUUAGAGCCCCCCAUCGAACUCUGCCAUGAGCAAGCAGUUAAUAACUGUCUGAAAAUUUAGGUGCUUUGACGUGGAGGAACUCAUCAUGCCACAUAUCACCAUUUUCAUCAGGUUUGCGCUUUGGAGAUCACAAAGCACAGUUCCCAGUGACUUGGCUCUGCCAGCUCAGCAUAGCUGUGUUCCCCUGGCUUUCUAAGUUUCACAUCACCACGUUGCGUUUCGUUGUGCAAGCUCUGCCUCCGAACGUGCGGGCUCUCCAACGACAAGCACUGGCUUUAUCAAUUAACUCACUACAAAGGCAGGCAGCGUUAGUCAGGUGGUGCUUUUCUAUUUGUGUUGGUGAGGAGAUGAGAAAGUGGUAGAACCACUGGCCAGGUAAGAUAGUGGAGAAGUGGGCUGGUUGUGUAGCUUCCCUUUCAGGCAGGAAUCUGAAAAAUUCUUCACUCUCUCUCCAUCUUCACCCUAAAGUAUGUUAUGUAUUUAUGAGCUCAAAAGCUUGAGCAAGCCAGUUUACCCUGCCACAGAAGUAUGUGUGUGUUCACGUUAAGUUAAAAAUUUUAACUCUUUGUAGUAAAAUUGCCUUUGGGCAAAAUUCAACUAUCUGAAUCAUUUAGUUAAAUUAAAGAGAACAUUAGUGUUAGCUACAGAUUUCCAACACUAAACUAUUUUAAACACAGAAUCCGAUUUUAAAUAUUUGUCUUUUAUCACGCCUUGUCAGAAGACUGAGACAAGGUUAAAGGAGCUUCUUGAAGACUUGUUGGGCAAGAUGUCAUUACAAAAUCCAGCAUUUCCAAGUUGCUUUCACAGCAAUAGCCCUUAGAUUUGAAAAGACGGAAGUCCCUGGGUAGUGCGAAUGGUUAAUCAGCUUAGCGGCUGACAGAAAUGUUGGAGAUUUGAGUCCACCCAGAGGCACCUCAGAAGAAAGGCCUGGCCAUCUACUUCCAAAAAAUCAGCCACUGAAAACACUACGAAAUACGGUUCUACUCUGACAUGCGCAGGGUCACCAGUGGUCAAAAUCGACCCAACAGCAACUGUUUUUUUGUUCUGAAGGAAGUUGCAUGGAAACAUUGCUGAGCAGCAGUGCACGAGGAUGGUUUAACAGGGCAGGGUGCCUGUCUUUUGGGAAUUCCCAAUUUGUGAUGCAACUCCACCCUCAAGGUGCAAGUAUGUCAAGAGGAGAAAACUAUGGGAACAGAUUCCAGUCAUAUUCUCUACCUUGCUGGAAAGGUUGAUGAGAUUUAAGAGGGGAAGGUGUGCCAGCAGCUCCUGGCUCAACAUUAAUCAGUCAUGCUCGACCCACGAGCUUACCGUGCUUAGGUAAUCAGGAGUGCUGCCAUUUAAGGGUAAGUGCAUUCUAUUGACCAACCGGGAUGGCUUCUGAAAACCAGACAUCUGUACAAGAAAGUGAGAAAUUUGCUUCCCAAGCACCUUGCAACCCUUUUCUUUAAGUUGUUGGUUUCCUUGGAUACUUUUCACAGUGACACAACUUAGUAGUUACUUUUGUUUGUUUCUUUAAGGAAAUUUCUAAGACUUUUAUUUGCACAUUUACUCUAUUAUGCUUUAGGGACUCAAUGGUGAGCAAACGCCUAAGUGGCAUCUUCCCACAUGGAACUUACAAGUAAAAGACCUCACUCAUUUCUGGCUUUGCUAUCCUUACUUAAGCUCUUUGGGUUUUGCUUUUCUUAUCUGUGAAACGGGAAUGAUGAUGAUUCUUGACCCUCAGGAUUGUGGACAAUUGGAGGUAAGGUAUGUAAGGACCUCCUACGUGGCCUGGUACAUAACACAUGGCCGAUAGUUGGUGAGUAGUAGUAUUGUUGUGUGCUUGAUAUUUAUUUCUUAACCAGGAAAAUAAUUCUUGCUAAUCCUAAUCACUUUAUUUCAAAAUUGAUUUUUUUUUUAAAAUUAGCAUUAGGAAAAAUUCAUUCAUCAUUCGUUUCCACAACAUAAUUUUCCAGUAAGUUCAGUGAAGGCCAAGCUUACAAUAUUAUGUUGUAUUUUUAUGAUCAAUAGUUCCCCUUUGCAAUGCUUAGUGUGCUACUGAAAUCUUGCAGGAAGGAAGUUCGGCAAGUCUUUGAGUAAAACGCCUUCCUGUCAAAAGCUGUGAACAUACUGACCAAUGGCAGGAUUGAAUUGACCAAUAGAUUCAGUGAGUUGAAUUCACUGUGGUUUUGACCAAGGACGAAGAACCCAGAAGUCUCCUUUGCUACUGCAGUUUUCAUGAGUGGCCGAACCCUGAGGUUGAUCCAAUUUUUCUGAAUCAGGACUCAGCUUAAAACACCACUAAACAGAUAUCUCUUCAUGCUCUUCUGAGGUUAUUACGUUAUUAACUUAUUACAUUCUUUCCAGUUAAAAGAAUUCCAUAGGUGGAGUACCUCCUAUAUCACAAGGUAUUAGCCUCAGUAUUAGAAACCAAUUUAACCUGGCAUCGGUUCUAUCCAAUUAAAAGUCUUAUGCUGACAUAAGAAUGUUGGUUGGUUGAUUUUUGUUGUUGUUCUGUUUUUAAUUGCUUAAUUUUUGAUUGUUGGUUUUCACCGCCCUUUUUCCUAUUUAGCAUAACUUCUAUGGACAUGCAUUCUAUGCCUUCAUUUUCCUUAAAAAUAAAAACCAGUUGCCAUUGAGUCAAUCCUGAUUCAUGGCAACCCCAAGUCUUUCAGAGCAGAACUGCACUUCACAGGGUUUUCAACAGCUGUGACCUCUUGGAAGUAGAUAGCCAGGCAUUUCUUCCCAGGUACCUCUGAGUGGAUUCAAAUCACAACCUUCUGGUUAGUAGCCAAAUGCUUGCCUGAGCGUUUAACCAUUUGUAACAUAAGAUCUAAGCACUCAAGUUGAUCCUGAUGCUGAUGGCCAUACUUUGAGUAACAGAGUUGACAAAUGUAUACAUGAUGGUUACCUUUAUUUGAGUCCCAUGAUUGCCCCGUGGUAAGCAAGGCAGUCACUAUUAUUCACAUUUUGCAAAGGAGGAAAUUGAGGCACAAUUAACUGACACAAUCAAUGAGAGACAGAGCCGGAGGUACUGCCCAACCCACCUCUUCCCGCUACAGUAAUAUACUGUGUUUAGCUCUCUUAUUAAUUUCUCAAAUUAGAUGCCACCAAAGUGGCAAGUGCCCAUGCAAGAAAGUAGCAGAAGCAAAUCUCUAUAUUCUAGUGUCCUCUGUUCUUGCCUCAAGUUAACCUUUCAACCUACCCACAACUGAACUCCAGGUCAACUAGUGCUGAGGCUCCUCAUGCAGUGUCCACAUUUCAUUUAUUCAACAAAUACUAAGUCCCUACUAUGUGACAGGAACUGUACUGGAAACCUCUCUAUCACUUCUUGAGUGGUGGCUACUGGGAACCAUAAGAUCUAGUCUGACAUACUGUCUCUAACCUUCUCUUCAAGUCUUAGCUUACAUACUGAUCUCUUCCAAGAAGACAUCCAGACCACUCCUGCCCUCAGGGAGUUUACCUGAGCUUCUGUCCUUUGAUUUUUAUUUGCUCCUUAUUUGAUACUUUGUGUGAGACAUCUUUAACAUUUGUUUAUCUUUUGGACUGCAUGAGUUAGAGACCCAGUCCUCUAGAAGCAAAGCUUGUGUGUUGGCAUCACCGGCAAACAAUUGCAGUGCUGUGUACAAAGUAGCUGCCUCAGUCACUGCUUUCCGGUUUUGACAAUGAUGAUGGUGUGAUGUUUUGCUUUAUGUAUAUAUCCAUGGUAUCUACUACUUCAUUGGGAUUAGGUCAGAUAAGGAGUCAUCAUAGCCACUCAUUCUGACAAUAGGUCACACUCUUUACUGCGUCAGAAUUAUGCCUGUUGUAAACACUCCCUGCAUUGAGCACUUACACAAGCACUUCCCAGGUUACCAAAAAGAGGUGGGGUUCUUGAAGCUGUGAAUGGGUGUUUGAGUCAGACAUACGUAGAUUCUGACAUUAUCUGGUCUUCAGAUUAGUAGUGGAGUUGGGGGGUAUUUGCGAUUUAGGGCAAAAAAAAAAAAAAAAGAGAGAAAAGAAUUAUGCCAGAGAGAUUAAGUGGCCAGAGGACUGUUCCUACUUCUGGAUAAGUGUUGGCGUUUCUACUACCAAAUACUGCACAACUUACAAACAAAAUUUGAUUUAAUUUCUAAUAUGCUGUGGUUGAACAGUAGUGAAAGAAUUUCUGAUAUAGCCUUCUAAGGCAUAAUGGCAUUUUAGAAGUGGAUGGAAAAAGCCCUGUAAGGGUCAGCUCCAUCAUUCCUUCCCAGAGUAUCCUUCUCAGGCCCCCUCAGUCUGGAGUAUUUGCUUCUUCUCCGGGCUCUCUUCUUUACAGCCCUUUACCAAGUGUCCUGCUGUUGUUUACUCUCCUCUCUCCUUUCUCAGAGUGUAAAUUCCCGAGGACAGAGAACCGUGUAUGUAUUUUUAAAUCUCUGAAUCCUCAGCACCUAUUUCUAAUCUAGGUGUUCCAUGAAUGUUUGUUGUUUGAAUGAAUGAGUAACUCUGCUUAUUUUCUACUUCACUCCUUCUACUAACAGCUGCAUACGUUAACUUUAAGAACCACCUAUAAAUAAAACCCAACAACUCAUUUGGCCCAGAGUACUAGAUCCUGUAUUAGUUUUCUAGGGUUGCUGUAACAAAGUACCACAAACUGGAUGACUUAAAACAACAGAAAUGUAUUGUCUCACAGUUCGUGAAGCCAUAAAUCCCAAAUCAAGUGUCUCUCUGAAGGUGCUAGGGGAAGAUCCUUCCUUGCCUCUUUCAGCUUCUGGUGGCUUCUGGCAAUCCUUGGCGUUCCUUGCUUUGUAAAUUCAUCACUGCAAUCUCUGCUUCAUUCUUCACACAGCCGUCUUCCCUCUGUGCCUCUGUUUCUCUGUGUCUUGUCUCCUAUUUUUAUAAGGACACCAGUCAUAUUGGGCCAGGGCUCAUUCUACUCCAGUAUGACCUCAAGUUAACUUAAAAUUUCUUCAAAGACUCUAUUUCCAAACAAGGUCACAUUUACAAGUACCUGGAGUUAGUACUUCAACAUAUUCAAACCAUUACAGAUCUCUUCCCUGAUAAAUUUGAUUGAAUGGACUUACAAAAGACAAAGUAUCCAUUUUAUGUUUUAUUUUUUUCCCUUCUGUUUUUUAUCCUUAGAUGGACCAGGCGAAGUUAUUGAAAAGACGGAGAGGUUGAAGUCUAGAGGACAAUGAUCAGGGAAAUGUAAAAGCUUGUCAACUAAUUUCUGAAUAAUGAAAAGUUAUUGUUUGCCAGCCAGUCAAUACUGACUUAGAACGACCCUAUAGGACAGAGUAGAACUGUCCCAUAGAGUUUCUUAGGCUGUAAUUUUUACAUGAGUAGAUUGCCAGAUCUUCUCUCCCACGAAGCCCCGGUGGAUUCAAACAGCUAACAUUUUGGCUAGCUGCCAAACACUUAACCAUUGUGAAACCAGGCCUCCUAAUAAAAACUUGUUGUGAAUGCUGGCGAAUUGGUUCCGGACCCUAUGUACAAGAGAACGAAACACUGCCUGAUCCUGCUCCAUCCUCACAAUCAUUGUUAUGCUUGAGCCUUUUGGUGCACUGUGUCAUUCCAUCCAUGUGUCAUUCCAUCUUGUUGAGGGUCUUCCUCUUUUUCACUGGCCCUCUACUUUACCAAGCAUGAUGUCCUUUUCCAGGGACUAAUCCCCCCCGAUAAUGUGUCCAAAGUGUGUGAGAUGAAGUCUUGUCAUCCUUGCUUCAAAGGAGCAUUCUGGCUGGACUUCUUCCAAGACAGAUUUAUUCAUUCUUUUGGCAGUCCAUGGUAUGCUUAAUAUUCUUUGUCAACACUGUAAUUCAAAGACAUCGAUUCUUCUUCAGUCUUCCUUAUUCAUUGCCCAACUUUCGUAUGCAUAUAAGGCGAUUGACCAGGCACAACUUAGUCUUUAAAGGGCCAUCUUUGUUUUUAACACUUUAAAGAGGUCUUUUGCAGUAGAUUUGCUCAAUGCAAUGCCUCAUGUGAUUUCCUGACUGCUGCUUCCAUGGGUGUAAAUUGUGGAUCCAAGUAAAAUGAAGUCCUCGACAACUUCGAUCUUUUCUCUACUUAUCAUGAUGUUGCUACGAGGUCCAGCUGUGAGGGUUUUCAUUUUCUUCAUGCUGAGGUGUAAUCCAUACUGAAGGCUGUAGUCUUUGAACUUCAUCAGGAAGUCCUUCAAGUCCUCUUCACUUUCAGCAAGCAAGGUUGUGUCAUCUGUAUAAUGCAGAGUGUUAAUGAGUCUUCCUCCAAUCCUGAUGCCCCGUUCUUCUUCGUAUAGUCCAGCUUCUUGGAUCAUUAACUCAGCAUACAGAUUGAAUAAGUACAUUGAAAGGAUACAAACCUGAUGCAUACCUUCCUGACUUUAAACCAUGCAGUAUCACUUUAUUCUGCUCAAAGGACUACCUCUUAAUCUAUGCACAGAUUCCUCAUGAUAAAAAAAAAAAAAACAAUUAAGUGUUUUAGAAUUCAUAUUCUUCAUAAUGUUAUCCAUAAUUUGUUGUGAUCCACACAGUCAAAUGUCUUUGCAUAGUCAGGUAAACAUACAUCUUUCUGGUAUUCACUGCUUUCAGCCAGGAUCCAUCUGACAUCAGCAAUGAUAUCCUUCCUUCCAUGUGCUCUUCUGAAGCUGGUUUGAGUUUCUAGCAGUUCCCUGUUGCACUGCUUCAACAGCUUUUAAAUGAUCUUCAGCAAAAGGUUAGUUACUUGUGAUAUUAAUGAUACUGUUUGAUAAUUUCUACAUUCGGUUGGAUCAUAUCUCUUUGGAAUAGGCAUAAAUAUGAAUCUUUUCCAGUCAGUUGGCCAGGUAGCUGGCUUCCAAAUUUCUUGGCAUAGAAGAGUAAGCACCUCUAGUGCUGCACCCCUCUGUUAAAACAUCUCAGUUGGUAUUCCGUCAAUUCCUACAGCCUUGUUUUUCGCCAAUGUCUUCAGUGCAGCUUGGACUUCUUCCUUCAGCACCAUCAGUUCUUGAUCACAUGCUACCCCCUGAAAUGACUGAAUGUCAACCAAAUCUUUUGGUGAAGUGACUGUGUGUAAUCCUUCCAUCUUCUUUUGAUGCUUCCUGUGUUGUUCAGUAUUUUGCCCAUAGAAUCCUUCACUGUUACAGCUUGAGGUUUGAAUUUUUUCUUCAGUUCUUUCAGCUUGAGAAAUGCUGAGCGUGUUCUUCCCUUUUGGUUUUAUAAUAAUUAUAAUGUCAUUAUAGUACUUUACAUUGUCUUCCCAAGCUGCCCUUUGAAACCUUCUAUUUACUUCUUUUACUUCAUCAUUUUUUUGGUCAGGUUAGCUACUAGAUGUUCAAGAGCAAGUUUCAGAUUCUCUUCUGACAUCCAUUUUGGUCUUCUCUUUCUUUUUAAUGACCUUUUGCUUUCUUGGUGUAUGAUGUCCUUGAUGUCAUUCCGCAACUCGUCUGGCUUUCUUUCAGUCAUUAGUGCUAAAUGCAGCGAAUCUAUUCCUAAGAUGGUCUCUAAAUUCAGGUGGGAUAUACUUUGGCUCUCAUGGACUUGUUCUAAUUUUCUUCAGCUUCAACUUGAACUUGAAUAGGAGCAAUUGAUCAUCUGUUCUGCAGUCGGUCCCUGGUCUUCUUCUGACUGAUGAUAUUGAACUUUUCUAUCAUCUCUUUCCACAAAUGUAGUUGAUUUUAUUCCUGUGUUUUCCAUUCGGAGAAGUCCACGUGUAUAGUCGAUGCUUAUGUUGUUGAAAAGAGGUAUUUUCAAUGAAGAAGUUGUUGGUCUUGCAAAAUUCUAUCAUGCAAUCUCUGGCAUCAUUUCUAUCAGCAAGGGCAUAUUUUCCAACUUCAGAUCCUUCUUUGUUUCUAACUUUCGCAUUCCAAUCACCAGUAAUUAGCAAUGAAUCCUGAUUGCAUGUUUGAUCAAAAUCAGACUGCGGAAUUUGGUAAAAUCUUUAAUUUCUUCAUCUUUGGCCUUAGUGGUUAAUGCAUAAAUUGAAUAACGAUCGUAUUAACUGGUCUUCCUUGUAAGUGUAUGGAUAUUAUCAUAUCAUUGUUGUACUUCAGGAUAGACCUUGAAAUUUUUAAUUUUUUUUUUUAAUGAUGACUACAAGGCCUUAGUCAUCUAGUAUUGCUAUAAUAGAAAUACCACAAAUGGAUGGCUUUAACAAAGAGAAAUUUAUUCUCUCACAGUCUAAUAGGUUACAAGUCCAAAUUCAGAGCGUUGGCUCCAGGGGCAGGCUUUCUCUCUGUCGGCUCUGGAGGAAGGUUCUUGUCCUCAGUCUUCCCCUGACUGAGGAGCUUCUCAAGUGCAGGGACCCCAUGUCCAAAGGACAGCUCCUGGUGCUGCUUUCUUGGUGGUAUGAGGUCCCCCACUCUCUGCUUGCUUCCCUUUCCUUUUAUUUCUUGAGAGAUUAAAGUUGGUGUAGGCCCCAGCCCAGGGAAACUCACUUUACAUUGGAUCAGGGAGGUGACCUGAGUAGGGGUGGUGUUACAAUCCCACCCUAAUCCUCUCAACAUAAAAUUACAAUUACAAAAUGGAGGACAACCACAGAUGACCUAAACAAGUUGAUACACAGAUUUUUGGGGGGACACAAUUCAAUCCAUGACAAUGCCACUCCUCUUCAAGUUGUCAUUCCUGGCUUAGUAGACCGCAUGAUUGUCCCAUUCAAAAUGGCCAACACCAGUCCAUUUCAACUCACUAAUGCCUAGGAUAUGGAUGUUUAUGCAUUCUAUUUCAUUUUUGACAAUUUCUAAUUUUCCUAGAUUCACCCAUCGUACAUUCCACGUUCCAAUUAUGAAUGGAUGUUUGUGUUAACUUCUCAUUUUGUGUUGUACCACAUCAGUAAAUGAAGAUCCCGAAAGUUUGACUCCAUUUAUGUCAUUAAGGUUGACUUUACUUUGAGGAGACAGCUGUUCCCCAGUCAUCUUUUGAAUGCCUUCCAACUUGUGGGGCUCAUCUUCCGGCGCUAUAUCAGACAAUGUUCCGCUGCUAUUCAUAAAGUUUUCACUGGCUGGCAUUUGAGUACUGGUGGCAUAGCUUCCAACAUCACAGCAACAAGGAAACCCCCACAGUAGGACAAACUGACAGAUGCGUGACAGAAAGUAAAAAUUUAGCAAUGGCUAUAUCCAUCUGGGCAAUACUCACUAUAUGAGUUCUCUUUCAACUUUAUGUUAAAAAAAAAUGAAAAAAAACUUUCACCCCAAAUCCAGAAAUAAUUUUUUAUUUGAGUGUUUCAGAAAGAGCCAAAUACGUCUGAAAGUAGCUUACUCAGGGAAAUGAAAGUUAAACUUUAUCAAAGCAGGUUCUGAGCUUGUCAUUAAAAUUUAAACAAUCAAGUUUUUUGACACACUGCAUCUAAACUAAAAGUAAAACAUUUUAAAUUCUGGAUAUGAAUCUCCUGCAAGUGAGGGAUAAAUUGGGAGUUCCCAAGUGACUAGUUAAAAUGUUUAUAGAUCCCAAACUGCCUCUUUUACAAAGUGCUUCUUCUUUUUUUUUUUUGGCUUCUUAUUUGAAAGUCAUUUGAAAGUUAUUUUACUGCAUUAAAACAGAGUGGUCGUCAUUUUCAAGGUCAAAUGGAUUGUUAAACAGUCACUACUUAUUAUGUACUCAUUUUACUCAGGACAUGGCAAAGUACAUGUAAUCUUUUUCUAGUUAAAGGUAAUGUGACUCAGUGAGUGAGGCGGAAAAAAUUGAGUAAAAUCCCCUACCUUACUCUAUCUGCAGGAUCAAAGGCAGGCUGCUUAAGCUCUCUGGGUCUGUUUUCUCAUCUAUAUUGUGGAAUACUCUCAGGGGGCUGUUGCAAGUAUUAAAUGAGAAAUUUAUGUGAAUAUGCGUGAUAUCCUGAUACUUGUUGUUGUUAGGUGCCAUCGAGUCGGCUCCGACUCAUAGCAACCCUAUGCACGACAGAACGAAACACAGCCCGGUCCUGUGCCAUCCUUACAAUCAUUGUUAUGCUUGGACCCAUUGUUGCAGCCACUGUGUCAAUCCACCUCGUUGAGGGUCUUCCUCUCUUCCACUGUCCCUGUACUCUGGCAAGCAUGAUGUCCUUCUUCAGAGACUGAUCCCUCCUGACAACACGUCCAAAGUAUGUAAGAUGCAGUCUCGCCAUCCUUGCUUCUAAGGAGCAUUCUGGUUGUACUUCCAAGACAGAUUUAUUCAUUCUUCUGGCAGUCCAUGGUAUACUCAAUAUUCUUUGCCAACACCACAGUUCAAAGGCGUCAAUUCUUCUUCGGUCUUCCUUAUUCAUUGGCCAGUUUUCACAUGCAUAUGAUGCGAUUGAAAAUACCAUGGCUUGGGUCAGGCGCACCUUAGUCUUCAAGGUGAAAUCUUUGCUCUUCAACACUUUAAAGAGGUCCUUUGCAACAGAUUUGCCCAAUGCAAUGCAUCUUUUGAUUUCUUGACUGCUGUUUCUAUGGCUGUUGAUUGUGGAUCCAAGUAAAAUGAAAUCCUUGACAGCUUCAAUCUUUUCUCCGUUUAUCAUGAUGUUGCUCAUUGGUCCAAUUGCGAGGAUUUUUGUUUUCUUUAUGUUGAGGUGCAAUCCAUACUGAAGGCUGUGGUCUUUGGUCUUCAUUAGUAAGUGCUUCAAGUCCUUUUCACUUUCAGCGAGCAAGGUUGUGUCAUCUGCAUAAUGCAGGUUGUUAAUGAGUCUUCCUCCAAUUCUGAUGGCCCCUUCUUCUUCACAGAGUUUAGCUUCUCAUAUUAUUUGCUCAGCAUACAGAUUGAAUAGGUAUGGUGAAAGAAUACAACCCUGACAUACACCUUUCCUGACUUUAAACCAAUCAGUAUCCCCUUGUUCUGUCCGAACAACUGCCUCUUGACCUAUGUAAAGGUUCCUCAUGAGCACAAUUAAGUGUUCUGGAAUUCCCAUUCUUAGCAAUGUUGUCCAUAAUUUGUUAUAAUCCACACAGUCAAAUGCCUUUACAUAGUCAAUAAAACACGGGUAAACAUCCUUCUGGUAUUCUCUGCUUUCAGCCAGGAUCCAUCUGACAUCAGCAGUGAUAUCCCUGGUUCUACAUCCUCUUCUGAAACCAGCCUGAAUUUCUGGCAGUUCCCUGUCAAUAUACUGCUGCAGCCAUUUUUUGAAUGAUCUUCAGCAAAAUUUUGCUUGGGUGUGAUAUUAAUGAUAUCUUUCUAUAAUUUCUACAUUCGGUUAGAUCACCUUUCUUGGGAAUAGGCAUAAAUAUGGAUCUCUUCCAGUCAGUUGGCCAGGAAGCUGUCUUCCAUAUUUCUUGGCAUAGACGAGUGAGCACCUCCAGUGCUGCAUCUGUUUGUUGAAACAUCUCAAUUGAUAUUCCAUCAAUUCCUGGAGCCUUGUUUUUCGCCAAUGCCUUCAGAGCAGCUUAGGCUUCUUCCUUCAGUACCGUUGGUUCCUGAUCAUACGCUACUUCUUGAAAUGGCUGAACAUCAACUAAUUCUUUUUGGUAUAAUGACUGUGUAUUCCUUCCAUCUUCUUUGGAUGCUUCCUGUGUCAUUUAGUAUUUUUAUGCAAAUAAUGUGCACCUUCUACAUGUUUUUGCCAACUGCACUUUCCCCCCAGCGGUGUUUUCCUAAGCAUGUUAUGCUAAUGUUUAUGUUAUUUUACUGUUUUACCAAACCAGGAAAACAAAACCCAUUGCCCUGGGUCUGAUUCUCAGUGACCCUAUAGAACAGAGUAGAAUUGCCCCAAAGGAUUUCCAAGUAGCAGCUGGUAGAUGUGAACUUCAGAUCUUUUGGUUAGCCUCCUGAGCUCUUAACCACUUCACUACCAGGGAAAAUUGGCAUAGCGGUGCUUACAAAAAUACCUUGUGAAGUGAGGGCGUGGUUGGCAAAUAAAUGUAGAAGGCCUAAGUUAUUUGUGUAAACGCCUAAUAAAUAUGUCUCUCGACUUUUCUCCAAGUUGCUAACUUAAAGGCAAGUUGCUUUUGUCUUAAGUCCCUUGGUUAGAAACUGUUUUCUCACGUGCCACAAUUCUUAUAUCAACUAUUUUCCAUUCAAUCAAUUUUUUGAGAUCAGUCCAAGGGAAAUAUCUUUCAGGAUAUUGCAGCAACAAGCCAAAUGACCUGGAGCCUGAUGCUUGGGCUCGAGCUCCAUUUUUUAAUAGUAGCUGUGUGUCUUUGGCUACCACACUCUCUCUACCACUCUGAGCUAAAAAGUCCCGCCUUGUAAAAUUCCUAAGGUUGGUGUCCCACUGUAAAGAGAUAAUAUAUGAAAAAACAGACAAACAAAAUGAUUGUCUUGACUCUGACUUACGGCAACCACGUGAGUGUUAGAACAUAACUGUGCUCCAUGAGGGGUUUUCAAUGGCUGACUUUUCACCAGGCCUUUCUUCUUCUUCUUUUCUUUUUCUUCUGAUGCACCUUUGGAUAGACUCAAAUCUCUAACCUUUUGGUUAGCAGUUAGGGGCAUUAAUCACUUACACGCUCAAGGGACUCUAACGCCUGUAAAAACACUGUUAUUAAAAAUAAAUUCUAAGAAAAAAACCAAACUAUAAAAAUCUUAAAUAGUUCAUGAUACAAGCGAGUCUCCACAUAAUAGCUGCUUUAAUAAACAAAAUUUUACAAACUCAGUAAAACAACCACAAAAAUAAACAACACAUAAUAAAGUAAACAUGCAAAAACUUAAGACAUGAGAAAAAAAAUUAGGGUUGUAUCAUACAGUUAAUUAUAGCAAAAAAUUCAGAAUAGUUUUGUUGCUGUUUUUAAACACAAUUUAGUUUUAAAUUAUAGCAUUUGAUAUUAAAACAAACUACUAUUUUUUACUACAAAAUAAAUUGCACAGUUUUGAAAAGUCAUUACAAAAUAAGAUUACUGAAUUGUUUUCAAAGUUAUUCUGUCAAUGACUAAAUGACUCCCCAUCCCUCCCACCCUUCCAAGGCCCAAAUCAUCAUCUACACCCUCCCUGAAGUCUAGCCGAUGCUUCUAGGCUGCUGUCUGUACCAAAGGCUAAAGCUGCGUCUGUUGACAAUGAACCACAUCACUGACAGAUGACGAUGACGAUGGAUGCUGAGAGUCACGAAUCACACUGGCACCUGGGCUGAAGGAGAGGGCUACCCUAUACAACUCCAUUUUCAUCCCUCUGCUCUAAGUCCACAGCUUCUGUGUCUAUCAAGUCGUUCCUAUGUUCUUUGACAGGUUCGUGUUUGCUGCAGUUCAGGGGUAGAGACAACUUUGGAUGCAAAAUGAAGUCAGGACAUCAGGGCAACAAAGCCACCAUCCGGACUCCUUCACCUUCACCUAUAACCCAACAGAAGCAGCAAUAAUAAAAUAAGUAAGUGAUAAUUCUUGGUGUGCACAGAUCACAGUGUUUGUACUCACAAUGUGAACAGACUGGUUAUUGACUUGACAAUUUUCUCUCUCGUGAUCUUCAGUUCCUUUCUGCAUCCAUUCCCAGUGCUGUGCUGGGGCCCACACACUGGUGGCCCUCCUCCUUCAGGUCAUGUUUUACAACUGGGGUAAAAGUACUGUCAAGAUAAAGUCUUAUACCCUACAGAGGCGAGCUCUUUGUAAAGAGAAUCAAACAAAUCUGAAUUCAAAUAUCAGCUCUGGAACUUUCUAAGCAUGUGACCUUGUGGAGUUACUUAACCCCUGGGAGCUUCAGCCUCUGUAUCCGUAAAACGCAGAUUGCGAUGUCUACUUUUCAGGUUUAUUGCGAGGUCAUACAAGAUUCUGUACUUGACGUUCGUACUGUAAGGACUGACACAGCAUCAGCCACAGCCUAAGGCCCCCACCUUAGAUUCACAGAACACUGGAUGCCUCUGCCUGGAGAGGAUAGAGACUGAGGGACUCAGCUUUUGAAAGCGCUCAAAACAGACAAAGUAUUCGACUAACACACCUUCAAUGCCUAGUUCAGUUCUAAGGGCUAGUAUCGUAUAGAGAUGGAACCUGAGGUUGUUCAAAGGUCUAACUCCUGCAGGAUUCCUGAGGGAUAAACUGAACAGGCCCUUGUCAGGCCUUAGGCCAGUUUCAGCACAGCUUUCUUGUAGUGUCUAUUUCCCAUGCCUUGGAUUCUGCAUCUGAAAUAUGUUUAUUAUUUUAUCUUAUGCAAUGUUGUCUUUUGUACUGUCAAGUCGAUUCCGACUCAUACUGACCCUAUAUGACAGAGUAGAACUGCUGCAUAGGGUUUCCAAGGCUGUCAUCUUUAUGAAGGCAGACUGCUACAUUUUUCUUCCAAGGAGCAGAUGGUGGGUCCAAACAGCCGACCUUUGUGUUAGCAGAUGAGCACUUUAACCACUGAACCACUAGGGCUCCAUAAUAUUAGGGUCAGAUGUGAGACUAAAAUCCAGGUCUCCUGGCUCCUGGUCUUGUUUGCUUCCUACUGAAUCACAUUCAUCAUCGUCAGGAAGCAUUAAGAGUGAAGACAGGUCCCCAAACACAGUGUCUGUGACCUUCGAAACCAAUGGCCUGUCAUGCACGGAGGAUGGGGAACGAACACCAACAGAAUAAAUCCUCUCCCUGCCCAAAUUUGUAAUCCUUAUUUUUACCCUUCCUAUUUUAUACCUUUAUUUCCAUUCCUGCCUUCUGACAAAAUCAAACAGCCUUUACCCUGCAUCUUAUAUACCUGUCCCGAAGUCCACCUCUGUGGCUACUGGAAUUAGUUAUUAUGUCAAAUUGUCCUUCUGUUUGAAUAUAAAACUAUCCAGGGCAUCCUUUGUUGGGCUCAUAGAUUUUUGCCUUGAUCACAGAGCGGUGCUGAUCUUCAAUUCAUGAAUGGGUGUGUGAAGUUUACAAGUAUGUUUAAAUUUCUUUUCAUACCAGGAAGCAAGCUCAAGCAACCGUUUUAUACACUAACUGUCGUGUGCCCUGGGAGGGACCACUGAGUAAGGCAACAACCAGCCUUCGGGUACUGGACACGAAAAGGAUCACUGUUUACUAAAUAGUCCUUUCUGCACUAGGAUUUGGCUAUCUUCUGUUACACCUUUGCCUGAGUCACAUUCUGGCUUUCUGUUUCUAAUCUCCAGUCAGAGCUAGAUUUUAAGUUUUCAGAGGCCAGCAGCUGCCUCUUAGACUCUCUGUGUAGUACUUAUCACAGCACCAAGGACAAUCCAGCUUAGUCGAGCAUCAUAAGAAUGACAACUCAGCCUAGUUGCUGCUCAAAAUAAUGACUCGAGAUUUGGCUUCCUACCUCCUCACCUCAGAGGCAUUAAACCAAGAGGUUUUUAUUUAUAGAUAGGAUAAUUAGCUUUUUAUUUUUGUGAAUAUGCUGUCCUCCUUCCCCACACCUGUGUUCGUCAAGCUGAACAUUACCGGGCUGGUGACAUCUUCACUGAUGCAGCAAAGAGACACUUUGGUGAAUUUCAGAAAUCUGAGCAAAAGAGUCACAAGCGGCACCAGGGCAGAUUUGGUAAAUAUUCUUGUCUGGUUAAAGGCUCCCGUGAAGGCGCCACCUUUUCUUCUCCGAUCAGCAAAUCCGAGGAGCCAGUUUUAAGUAUAGCAUGUCUUGAUAAAGCACGUUAGAGCUUAUUUAGCUGCUGUUCCUAAUACCGAUUAUUAAAGGGGUUGGAGGAAGUAUUAGGAGGAUCCAGAAUGGCUGAUGGUUGAAACAAAAGAAACCAAACCCGAAUAACAGCAGAUAAACAACAACAAAAAUUCACCUUGUUUUUGAACAGACUACAAACCAAAAAACUCAAACCAUCAAGACCACUCUGCUCAUGGUGACCUCAUGUGUGGCAGAGUAAAACUGUUCCCUAGGGUUUUCUUAGCUGUAAUCUUUAUGGAAGCAGAUCACCUGGCCUUUCUUCUGUGCCACUGCUGGGUGGGUUCAAACCACCAACCUUUAGGUUAGUAGUUGAGCACACACCACUUGGGUGACCCAGGAACCUACAAGGAUAGUUAAUUUUCUGGUGUUCUUGAUUCUUAGUCAUUUUAUCACAUUGGACACUACUAUAUACUGUCUCAUUUUAUUCUCCAGCAAACGCUAUGAGGGCGAGAAUUACUGCCUUCAUUUUAGAAUGGAGGGCCCUAAGGCCCAAACAUGCCAAUAUCACUGAACUAGAAGCAAAACCAUAAUCCAGACUCUUAUUUAGUUAAAAUGCCCAUGAAUAAGGACUGUAGAACAAUUGGGGUUUUAGUUGGUCCCCUUGAGAGCAGAUGUUCAUCAAGGAUUAGCUUUAAAAGAGGAUUCUAUGCAACAUAAUUAAGGAAAGAUGCCGUGACUCAUGGCUCCCGUGCUUGCAGCCCACAGGUCUCCUGUGAGUCAAGAGAUGGGCACCUGGGGCGGGGCAGGCUAGGGAAAAUCAGUACUUUCUUUGCCCAUUCAGGCCUGUUCUGGGAAAGUCUGUCAAGCCCUGGGAAGGGCAGCCUGACGCGUUUCACUGGACUUGAUUUCCUGGGCAUGUGCAUAAAAAGAAACCACACCUUAUGGAAACAGAAAUGACCCAGAUGAGACUCCCCACAGAAAUGCAAGGAGUGUCCAAGUAAAACUGGACCGGCCAUGAUUCUUUAUCCCGUGGGAGGCAGCUGGCCUAACACAAUGACUCUGGGUUUGAAAACUGAGUUUGAAUGCUAAUCGUCACAUCCUUAGCAGUGUGGCUGUGAGCAAGUUACUCCUAAACUUUUUGAGCCUUAACUGCAACAUUUGUGAAAAAAGGACAAUAUCUUCUCACAAAAUUCUGUGUAGGUUAUAUGAAGUAGGUAUUUAGUAAAUACUCUCUUCCCUUUCAAAGUUAGGGGAUUCAGUUUUUCUAGGGCCAAAGAAAGAAAUGGCCUGGAAAAGAUUGUUGAGGAGGUUAGUAAAAUGGACAGAGGGGAAGUUUUCUGGAAAUGAUAAAACAAAAUCAAAAUGUCACUUAUGUAUUGCAUUAUCUUAUAUUUAAUUUAGUUCCUUAGAAUUACAUGGGUCAAUGUGUUAUAGGCGCAGGAAUUACAGCCAUGUUAAUCAGCCUUAUUUAGGACUAUUUGCUCGUCAUUCAGAAUAAUUAAAAUUUUGGUAACUUUAUAUUUGUAACUAAAAUAGAGUAUUAUAUAUAACAUACACAUCAUACAUAUAUUAUCUGUAACAUAUUAGCAUCUAAUUUAUCUAAUUCACAAAUGUUAUUUUAUCCCCAUAGUUAAUCCAGUAAUGUAAGUAUUAUCCUUAAUAUCCAGAGAGUUUGUGACUUGCCUAAGGCUUCUCAGGAUUUCAAUUCAUUCUACUGCAACCUGCAUUUCUGGUAAGGCAUGACACUUAGGUCAUAUACGAAAGAAUGCUGUUUGCCUUCAAGUGACCUUCAAUUUAAAAAAAAAAAAUGACAUACAAAAAUAUAGUAUUGCAUGCACGCUCUUAGGUCUAAUUAAUAAUGUUUAUUUAAAUAUAUUGACAUAAUAAAUAUUUUACAUGAUGUGUUCAUAACAUAUAAAGCCUAUAAUUUGAAACUUUCUUUUCAUUGGAAAAUUUUCCACUUUUCUAUGUUCUUAAUGGAAGGAAAACCAAAUGAACAAACACAACUUGCUGCAACUGUCAUUUUUAAUGAGCAGGUGAGUAGGGAGGUCAUGCAAUUGUUAGCACUAAACUCUGCACUGUUUCCUAACAGCCGAAUGUUGGACCACAAGGUGAUUGAUUCUUAAGGAAUUAAGAAGACCUGAUGGUGUAGUGGUUAAGAGCUCAGCUGCUAACCAAAGGUCGGCAGUUCAAAUCCACCAGUGGCUCCUUGGAAACUCUAUAGGGCAGUUCUGCUCUGUCCUACAGGUUUGCUAUAGUCAGAAGCAACCUGUUGGCAAUGGGUUUGAUUUUUGGUAUUAUUGUUAAACAGAAUACUAAAGCUAGUCAUGAUUAGUUUCUACCUUUAUAAAGUAAAGAAAAACACCUGCAUAUGGCCUACUAAUGAGAAAGGGUAUAAACUGAAAGUUAUACAUCCAAGAAAUGGCAAAAAGUUGUGUGUGUGUUUUUCUGUGUUUUAGCUAUGCUGGUCCAGCCAGCCAAGAGUAAAAAUCUGAAGGAUAAAGAAGCUUAAACAGUUGGAGCAGAGGUCUUUCAUAUACUACCUUGCCUUAAAAUAUUUUGAUCAGUCCAUUUAGUCUUUGAUUUUUAAUAGAUACAUCAAACUUAUGUGUUGUCUAAUGUUUCAUUCAGCUGAGUUAACAGUGACUGUAUCUUGUUAUGCUUUUUAAAUUGUUGUUGUUAGGUGCCUUUAAGUCAGUUUUGACUCAUAGUGACCCUAUGUACAACAGAACAAAACAGUGCCUGGUCUUACGCCAUCCUCACAAUCAUUAUUAUGUUUGAACCCAUUGUUGCAGCAAUGGUGUCAAUUCAUCUCGUUGAGGGUCUUCCUCUUUUUCAUUGCCGCUCUACUUUACCAAGCAUGAAUUCCUUCUCCAGGGACUGGUCCCUCCUGAUAACAAGUCCAAAGUAUGUGAGACAAAGUCUCGUCAUCCUUGCUUCUAAGGAGCAUUCUGGCUGUACUUCUUCCAAGACAGAUUUAUUCAUUCUCCUGGCAGUCCAUGAUAUGUUCGUUAUUCUUCGCCAACACUGUAAUUCAGAGGCAUCAAUUCUUCUUCAGUCUUCUUUAUUCAUUGUCCAACUUUCACAUGCAUAUGAAGUGAUUGAGAACAACAUGAUUUGGAUCAGGCACACCUUAGUCCUUAAAGUGACAUCUUUGCUUUUCAACACUUGAAAAAGGUCUCUUGCAGCAGAUUUGCCCAGUGCAAUACUUCUUGACGGCUGCUUCCAUGGGCGUUGAUUGUAGAUUCAAGUAAAAUGAAAUCCUUGAGAGCUUCAGUAUUUUUCUCUAUCAUGAUGUUGCUCUUUGGUCCAAUUGUGAGGAUUUUUGUUUUCUUUAUGUUGAGUUUUUGUCCAUGCUGAAGGCUGUAGUCUUUGAUCUUCAUCAGUAAGUGCUUCAAGUCCCUCUUCACUUUCAGCAAUCAAGGUUGUGUCAUCUGUAUAUCGCAGGUUGUUAAUCAGUCUUCCUCCAAUCCUGUUGCUCCGUUCUUCUUCUUAUAGUCCAGCUUCUUGGAGUAUUCGCUCAGCAUAUAGAUUGAAUAAGUAUGGUGAUAGAAUACAACCCUGGCACACAACUUUCCUGACUUUAAACCACAAAGUAUUCCCUUGUUCUGUUUGCAGGACUGCCUCUUGGUCCGUGUACAGCUUCCUCAUGAGCACAAUUAAGUGUUCUGGAAUUCCCAUUCUUUGCAAUGUUAUCUAUAAUUUGUUAUGAUCCACACAGUCGAAUGCCUUUGCAUAGUCAAUAAAACACAGGUAAACAUCCUUCUGGUGUUCUCUGUUUUCAGCCAAGAUCCACUGGACAUCAGCAAGGAUAUCCCUCAUUCCACGCCCUCUUCUGAAUCUGGCUGGAAUUUUUGGCAGUUACAUGCUGAUGUACUGUAUUUUUAAAAUGAACCUCCAAAAUGUUUGGCCUAAAAUGAAACCGAAUAUUAGGGUUUAAGUUGCUUUUUGUUUUCUAAAGUAUUCCAGAAGAGAAAAUUAAGCUAAGCACAUCCGGGUUAUGUCAGAUGAGGAGCCCUGAAGUGGAAUCCUUUGUGAAGAAUUAUCUUCCUUGUGGGUUACAUGCAAAGCAGGGAAAUGUGCUAUAUUUACAUUUUUAUCACUCUUGGAGUCAAUUCUAAAUCAAGAGACAGAAACCAAGAUGCCUCAAGGGCUCUUGAAAAAAGCAGUCUCUUACAAAAUUGCGUGUUUCUAUACAGCCUGUGCAGAGGGAAAGUUGUGAGCAAGGAUCUGUAAUUUUUAUUUGUAGACUUUCAGUUCUGCUCUCAUUUGGUUGAAACCUUUGGUUCCUUUUUUCAUUUCCUGUAACAAAUGUAUCACUGGAGACCAGCUUUUUGGAGUUUCCUAUUUAGUUCCUAAUUGGCAUUCUGCUGAACAGUGGCGUGUCAACAUCAUCAGAAGGGAAGCAUAAGACGUCUCGAUGAAGGAGCCUGGUUCAUGUUGGUGAACUCUCCCAAAGGUAGAAGGGAAGGCUCUGAAGGGAAAGCACACCUGCCUGUGAAGGGAUUUGCAGUUGUAUGUUCAGUCUCACCACUCAGUACGUAACCCAAGAUUUGAUACUAAAUGCAGAAGUAGAGAAUGGAAGACGAUGCCAUUUCAACUGCAAAUGGAAUUGUGGUUUUGAACCAGAGUGAAAAUCAGAAGAUUUGGGGGAACUUGAAAGUUACCAGAGGCCUAUGGCUCAAAGAUUAAAAAUUCAACGUUUCUUCAUCCUAGAUAUUAUAUAGGUCUUGGCUUAUGAAUAUGCAGAAAAGAAGACAGUAGUUCCCUCAUUAAACAAUAACUACAAAAAAAAAAAAAAAAACUUUUUUGGAAAAAAUGAUGUGAACUCAGAGGUGGAGAAAUGGAAACCCUGAAAGUUUCCUCUAAUCCUGCUAGCCAUUUUCUCUGUACUGUUCUUAGCCAUUUCCUCUUGCUUUGAACUUGCCUAAAAUGUGAACACACUUUUUACUACUCAGGUGUAUUCCGAGGAUUAUCUACGCAUAUCUGAAGAAGCUUUUUUUUUUUUUUUUUAAAGCAACCUUAUUACCUCAACUAUCUAAUUUCAGAGAUGGACCAGGAGUGAUAUUCAUGUCUGUCAUCUGACCACUGAGCCAUGUUCUGUUUGAGAUUUAUAUCUCUAAACUACCUCAAGGCUACGCAGCAUAUCCAGGGACUGAUCCCUGGGGAAACAGGAACACCAAGGAAAGGGAUGGAAAAUGUGCAGAAACGUUAGCCUGUGGCUGUGGCUUCCACAGCACUGAGGGUACUGCAGGGGAAUCCAUUAUUGGGAUCUUGCCUUUUUAGGUGAAUGUGAAUAUGAUGAACACAAACCACUGUAGUUGCAGAAAGAGUUGGGAGCACAGGCACGGCAGGAGUGACAAUAUGUUUGCACAGACUGUCUCUUUUUCCUUCUAAGUCUCAUCUAUGGCUAAAGAUGCCUGUAAGGAGGAACCAAGCUAGGAGAUCAACCCCAAUGAUAUGUCUUUUCAUCAUUAACUCUGUUUUCUUCACAUGACAGACUUCUCACUUUUAUCCCAUUCUCGUUUGUCCCUCAUUUUCUAUCAGUCCCCGCUUCUCCUCCUUCUCAGGAUCCUGCUGAUUGUUCGUUUACAUAGUACUGAAUAAUCUCCCAACAGCAGAGAGACUCCUGGGAUUUGCCUGUCAGGUUCUAUUUCCUAGGGAGAGAGGCUGAGUUACUGAGCCCACUCUUUUAGAAAUACAGUUUUACCUUGUAGUUAUUGGAUUAUUAGAGAAGGCUCUGUAGGCACAAAUGGUCUUUCUGGGAUUGAGUCCCCAAAGCUAUUUGGCUAGAUAAGCUGUCUUCUGAGUUUUUUCCUUCCUUCUUUCCUCCCUCCUUCCCUCCCUUCAUUCUUUCAUCCAUUCAUUCAUUUAUUCCUUCCUUCCUAGGACCGUAGGCUUUGCAGUCAGAUUGCCUGAGUUUCAGUCCCAGCACUGUUGCAUAUUAUACGGGUGAGCUUGGCCAAAUUACUUAACAGUCUAUGUCUCUCUUUCUUUAUCUGUAAAAUGAGGAUAAUAAUUGUAUGCAUCUCAUAGAGUUGUUCUAUAUGAGAAAAACACUUAGAACAAUGUUUGCUACAGAGUAAGAACCCAGAAAUGCUAGGUAUUAUGGUUAUUUAUUUAGCGCCUAAGAAAAACCAAACCUGUUGCUGCUGAGUCAAUUUCCACUCUUAGUGACCCUAUAGGACAGAGUAGGACUGUCUCACGGGGUUUCGAAGGAGUGGCUGGUGAAUUUGAACUGCCAAACUUUUGGUUAGUGGCAGAGCUCUUAACCACUGAGCCACCAGGGCUCCAUUUAGCUCUUACCAUGGUAAUAUCGUUCUGCUAGGUGUAAGGUAAGUGCCAUAGAAAUUAUGACCUGGUCUAGCUUCCUAUUUCCCAGUGAAUGAAAUGUGAGACGUAAACGUGAAAUCAUUAAGUAACAUUACAUCACCAUGAAUAGCAUUAUAUUACAAAAUGUCAGUGUGAACGAGAAAGCAGAGAGAAAGAAUACCUGCAAGGUGUCAAGGACGGUUUUGUAGAAAGCAAGCUCAUUUUUGUGAAAGUAUGAUCAGGGAGAUAGUUUUCCAGGUGGGCUAGUACUACUUCAGCGGCUGUACAGAUAUUUUUGAAACAGUGAGGAAAGAGUUUUGGCUACAGAGGAAAGUUCAGUAGAACAGAGUGAGAGAGAAAUCUGGUUACAAUAAAGAGAGAAUUCAUUUACGGAGGACCUCAAACCCCCAAGCCAUUGCUGUCGAGUCAGCUCUGACUCAUGGUGCCCCAUCCAUGUGUGUCAGCAUAGAACUUUGCUCCAUUGGGUUUUCAAAGGCUGGGUUUUUUGGAAGUAGAUCACCAGGUUUUUCUUCUGGGGCACCUCUGGGUGAAUUUGAACCUACAACCUUUUCAUUAGCAGCCAAGGACAUUAACCAUUUAUACCACCCAGGGACUCCUUGAAUCCUUAAUAGAUAUAAUGAACCACCCAGGGGCUUACUUUAUGAAAAAAUAAUUUCUGAUGACACUUCCAGCUCUUUACAGUCAAUGACAUUUUAGCUUUCUCCUGAUGAAAUGGUGGCAAUAUUUCCAUCAGGUGGGGGUGGGGUUGGUGGGAGCAUUUGAAGUUUUGGGGUAGGAAAACAAUAUGACACAAUGGAUGUCAUAAAAUAUGUGGUGUAAAAUAUAAAAGUAGAGACAGAAGUAAAACUAACACUUAUUUUUCUUUAAGAACAACAACAAAAAAAACCUCUUGGAGGUAUUGUUCACUAUUUACACAUGAAGAGGCCAAGUUGCAGAGAAGUAAAGAAACUGGCCUGAGAUUGCAGAUGUUGCUUCCAGGUGACUCUCCCUGCCUGCCAUUUUCAGAGUUCAGGAGCUGGGCUGUCCUGGAAAGAACAUCUACGUUUGCAAUCUAGUUCUGCCACUUCCUUGUCCUCUGGCACUGGGCAAGGUUUUGCCUCUCUUUUCAUCUGGUGAUAAUUUUUGUCUCAUGAAAGAAAUUUAAGUGAGGUACUAUAAAUACAAGUCCUGGAACAACAUUGUUGGUGCUGUCUUAACUACACAACGGGACUUCUGAGAGAUGGGAGGACUGUCAGGAGGCCAGCCCUGGUGUGAGCCGAGGAUCAGGACACGCACAGUGGCUGUGCACACAUGAUGAACGAUGAAAGAACGGGCCUUGCUGUUGGACGCUGUAGUGGAGACAGAAUUGUGUGUGGAUUCACAGCCCGGCUUUGCUCCUGUCCAUCUGUGCAGCCCUGAGCAGGGCACCUACCAGCCUCCUCAUCUCUGUGAUAGUCCUCUCUCCUCAGAAGACAGCGAUGAGACUUAAUUUACAGAAUGAAUGUAAAGCACGAGGCACAACACUGACUUUAAGGUGGCUUUUUAGUAAAUGGAUAUUAUUUUAUUCGUGCAAGUAUGUUAAAGAACUCUUCUCCUUUUAAACUCUCGUGGAAAAAGAAAACAGCAUUUAUUCUUUCAUUCUGAGACUUCAACUUAAUAAUUGAAAGAAAAAAUAGGAUGUGUCCUUAUUCUGCACAGAAUAAGGCAAGCAGUAAGAAACAAAGUGGUGGGGUCCCAUCCUGACCAAGGACAAUGCUGUAAAUUUCAAGUCCCAUCCGGGAACAUGAUGCCUGUUGAAAACUGGCUGCAGCCCUGGGCAGCAUUUAUAACAGGCAUUGUUUCUUUUGUUCAGUUUGGACAGCAUUUGUGUGGGUGCAUUCUUGUUUAAAGAAACUUUUACUCUUCGGUAAGGACCUCUGCUCCACUGUUCUAUGGAAUCUUUUUGUUUCAUCAUACACGUGGAAAACCUAAACAGUUUUCCUUUAUAAAAACUGUUGUUAGUUAAUGUCGAGUCAGCAACCCCACCUACAACAGACAAAACGCUGUUUGGUCCCGCGCCAUCUUCAUGAUCCUUGGUAUGCUCAAGUCCGUUGCUGUGGCCACCAUGUGUUCUCAGUGCCUUUCAAUGUAGAAGGGUCGUCUCCCAGCAGUGUAUCAGACAAUAUUCUGUGGUGACACAUAAAAUUUUCAUUGGCUAAGUUUUGGAAGUAGAUCACUAGGCCUUUUUUUCGUAGCCUUACUCUAGAAGCUCUGCUGAAACCUGUCCACCAUGGGUGACCCAACUGGUAUUUGAAACACUGGUGACAUAGCUUCCAGAAUCACAGCAACAUGUAAGCCAACAUGUAAGCCUCCACAGUAAAACAAACUGACAGAAGGAUAGUGGAUAGGAACUUUAGGCCAUGGUUUGUCUUUGAUGCCUACUUUGGAGUAAUUUAGAGACUUUCUUCCCACUCAUACCUCCUUCCCCAAAGAUAAAUCCCCAAAGAUAGAAUUGGCAUUUUAGAAACAAAAUACCCAGAGUCCGAAGGGCUGUUACUACUGAAAGAAAUGUGGUUGUCGAGUAACCCUAGACCCCAUCCUUCCAGACCCUGGGCAGGUUUGUUGACAAUAGCCUUAGGUGCAGGCUCUGGAGCUGCAGGCUAGAUUAGCAAAUCUAUUUUGCCUAUAUAAAGAGCAGAGCCUACAAGA